This 595-nucleotide long non-coding RNA is filed under the name Rattus norvegicus (Norway rat). RNAcentral's name for it is "long non-coding RNA NONRATT006410". The record is from RNAcentral. Lineage: Eukaryota; Metazoa; Chordata; Mammalia; Rodentia; Muridae.
UGAUUGGGUAAAUGGCUAAAAACGUUUGUGCAGACAACAAGGAGAGACAUACAUCUGGAACAGGGCAUCUUUGACCUGGGAAGGAAUAACUCUCCUGUUAUUGGGAACAGUCCUUUCCUGUUGUGGUAAGCUGGACACAGCUGUUAUAUGUACUUUCCACUGCAGGAAACGCUCUGCAGUCUCUUUCGAGUGCUCAAGUGGGGACCUUAUCACUCCAAGGGCCGUGAUUUUCUGCUUUCUCCAAGGACAGGAGACAGCAGCUUUUCCCAAGGUUUACCAAAGACAGUGGCUUAGAAUUCCGAGGGCAAGAAGGAGUCUGCCCUGCUGUUGCUUUUUGUCUUUAAACAAACCAAACCCAAGAACACAUCAAAGUCACUAGUCACCAUGACCAAAUAGGCUUAUCUCAGCAUUGCACGGUUGGUCCAAUACAUGAAAAUCUGUUAACACAAUCUACUUCAUAAACAAAAUCAAAGAAAAAAAUCACAUGAUCAUCUCAUAAAGUGCUAAAAUAGCAUUUGUCAAAAUACAACACCCCUUCCUGAUAAAAGUAUUGGGGAGAUCAGGAAUUCAAGACGCAUACCCAAACACAUUAAAA